RNAcentral lists this unclassified non-coding RNA (255 nucleotides) under Hevea brasiliensis (rubber tree). Lineage: Eukaryota; Viridiplantae; Streptophyta; Magnoliopsida; Malpighiales; Euphorbiaceae. The record is from RNAcentral.
GUUGGACACAAAUUCCUUGAGGAUGGAACGAAGGUUCGGUACCUGGUCAAGACUGGUGAAAUAAUUGACAGUGCUGAGAAUUGGGUCAAGGUGUUCAAGGAAGGAAGUUCGGAGUGAUCAUGGUAGCAUGGGAGUCCUGCACAUUUUCUGAACUGCACUUUUUGUAUGCCCAAAUGAGUUGAUGCUUUUCUAGAUUCAGAUUUCAGAGUCUUGUAAAUUUCUAUACAGUUGCCAACAUUUUUUUGUAUCCAAUGA